RNAcentral lists this ribosomal RNA (253 nucleotides) under uncultured bacterium. RNAcentral's name for it is "partial 16S ribosomal RNA". It matches the Rfam family "Bacterial small subunit ribosomal RNA", at positions 524 to 776 of the family's 1533-position model. The record is from RNAcentral.
UACGUAGGGUGCGAGCGUUAAUCGGAAUUACUGGGCGUAAAGCGCGCGCAGGCGGUUCGUUGUGUCGGUGGUGAAAGCCCCGGGCUCAACCUGGGAAUGGCCAUGGAAACUGGCGAACUGGAGUGUGGCAGAGGGGGGUGGAAUUCCGCGUGUAGCAGUGAAAUGCGUAGAGAUGCGGAGGAACACCGAUGGCGAAGGCAGCCCCCUGGGCUAGCACUGACGCUCAGGCACGAAAGCGUGGGGAGCAAACAGG